GAUGAACGCUGGCGGCGUGCCUAACACAUGCAAGUCGAACGGAGAUUACGGACGGAAGUUUUCGGCUGGAAGCCUGUAAUUCUUAGUGGCGGACGGGUGAGUAACGCGUGGGCAACCUGCCCCAUACAGGGGGAUAGCAGCUGGAAACGGCUGGUAAGACCGCAUAAGUCGGUUAAAUCGCAUGAUUUGAGCGGGAAAUUGGCCAUCCGGUAUAGGAUGGUCCCGCGUCCGAUUAGCCAGGUGGCAGGGUUAAAGCCUACCAAAGCGACGAUCGGUAGCCGAGCGGAGAGGGCGGCAGACUACAUUGGGAAUGAGACACGGACCACACUCCGACGGGAGGGAGCAGUGGGUGGUAUUGCACGAUGGAGCCAACUCUGAUGCCGCGGCGCGGGGUGAGUGAAGCAGUAGGUCGGUAUGUGAAGCUCUAUGAGCAGAGGAGAUGAUGACGGUACCUGACUAAGAAGCCCCGGCUAACUACGUG
RNAcentral lists this ribosomal RNA (481 nucleotides) under uncultured bacterium. RNAcentral describes it as "partial 16S ribosomal RNA". It matches the Rfam family "Bacterial small subunit ribosomal RNA", at positions 28 to 507 of the family's 1533-position model. The record is from RNAcentral.